CAGGAUUUCCCACAGCUGCUGCCAGAACAAGCAUUUAAUGCUGUGGUGAGCAAUCAGCUCCCAUUUAAAAAGCUCCAUGCAAGCAAUGCAAGUCUCCUGUGUCAACAGCUGAACCAUCCCACUGGUAGGUGCCUCUUGCUCAUUGAAAGACGUUUCUAUUGCAAUGGGUCUGACUUCAGUUUCUGGCUUCCAUUGUGCCUUUGGCUGCUGUGCACCACAAGGAGCUUUCUCACAUCUGUUUCUUCUGGAGUAUCAUCUCUCCUAGCCUUACUGUUUUUGAUCACAGUGCAGUGAGCUGCCUUACUCCCUGGCAGCAAGGUAGGUUUCAGGCAGGUGAGGUCAUCCCUGCUGCUCCUUUCUGCUUCUUCCCCAGUUCCUUUUCAUCCUUGAUGUACUUUGCAUUGAGCAUGUGGCUCAUUGUUUUUUAUCAGGCUUUGUGAGGGGUGUUAAUCUGCCCAAGGCUGUGCUCAUUUAACUGGAACGUGUGUGGUGUCUGCAGGAAAUGCCCCCAGAUGCAGCAUGAUGAGAUUUUCCCUUGCUCUCAGGGCUUUGCUCUGCCAGUGCUUUUGUGACAUAUUUAUCUGAUCCACAUCAGCAUCCCCUCGUGGGUUUGCCCUAGCUCAAUCCCACUGACACCUGGCUUUGUUACAUGGCUCUCUAAUCACUGAUCUGCACGGAAACAAGUUUCCAAAUUGCCCGUUUUUGCUUGAGGAGGUUUCAUUUAAGCACCUGAGGGAUAUGACUGGUUAGGAGAGGAUAGGGCUGAUGUGUAUUUGGGUAACUAAUUAUAUUUCUAUUAUCGUAUGUGAACAGAGAGAUUCCUUCAUUGCUGAGGCACUUCACUGGAGAAUAACUGAGACCCUUUUCCUAAGCCAGGAGACUGUUACAGAUCCUGCUAGCUGGGACUGAAACUCAUUAUUUCAAGGCAAAGUGUCAGCGUGUGGAAAAGCAUGGCCACUCUUAGCUUGCAGGCACAUAGACUAUGACCAAAAGAACCCAAUUUAACUGCAGUUUGUGCACCAUAUGUGAUUUCACUAGGAGUAGAUGAGGACUUGAGCUGCUUCACUGUGUUUUCACUCACCAUCAGGAUCUGCAGGAGCCAAGAGAGCAUUUACUGGGGAUAAUUUUCAACAAUCUCCUGUAAUGCUCACAUGCCAGAUCUGCAGGGAUGCAGGACCCAGCUUGGCAUCGGGCUCCAAAAAAGCUGGCUGGCUACCUUCCCUCAAGAUCGUUCACCCAGUGACAGUGAGCUGGCAGCAACUUCCCAGAUUGACUUGUAGCCUGACCUGAAGCUUUCUUCCUGCCCAAGGUGAAAGAAGAAGGAAGAGCAUCUAUGUUUUAUUGAGAAUAGGUUUCUUUGGCAAGGUUGGUCUAAAUCAGUGGGCAUGUUGGUAUAGUCUGGCUAUUUCUUAUGUAAAAUGAAUUUGUGAGUUUGGGUGCUAAAAGAGAGACGACUUCUACUCUAGAAAAGGAAAUAAUGCAGCCAGAUUAGCUCGAGGAAUGUGGCAGUCUUCUCUUCUUCUCCGGACAAGCUAUGGCAGUGCAGUCCAACCAGCCACUCCAAGGAUGCUGUUGGUGACCACAUGCUGCCAUGGGGCCACUGUGCAUUGCCUCACAGCAGCUCUGCUCGGGCCUGGAUCCAUUGCCAUUCCUGCAGGAAUCUCUCUCUUUUCUUCAAAACCAGAGCCCGUGUCGGGAAGUGUUCAGGAAACAGGGGCAACUUCGGUCCUUUCUUUUCUGGGCAGCGUUAACAGCUCCACAGCCCAAAGAAUUUGUCUUGCAAUCCCCUCUGUGGCUCAGCUUUCAAUUCUCUAUUCAACCAGCAUGAAUGAAACGAAGCCUUUAUUUGCAUUCUCUUCAAAUUGCCCUUCACCGCUAGCAUGAGACCUUUGGAAGUUUGUUGCAGGGAACAGCAGAGCCAAGAUAUUUGAGCUGGGCAUGAUGCCCCACCGCUACUGCAAAAAAUAAAAUAAAAAAAAUCACUUCAAAGCAACUGCUGAGUCAGAAAAAAACAGGGCUUGGAUGCAUUCACUUCCCAAAGAUCACAAUGCAAAGCCCCAGUGGGAGGAGGAGCAAGGAGGGAGGUCAAUGGAAGCGGCAUUCCCUGUCCCUGAGUCACUUCUGCUUCAGGAAUUUGGGAGAUCUGGCUUCUCCACAGCACAUCUGCUGGCACAGGGGGCUUUAUAAAGAAAUGCUGC
Molecule: long non-coding RNA, 2198 nt
Organism: Gallus gallus (chicken)
Lineage: Eukaryota; Metazoa; Chordata; Aves; Galliformes; Phasianidae
Source: Ensembl